This 515-nucleotide ribosomal RNA is filed under the name uncultured bacterium. RNAcentral's name for it is "partial 16S ribosomal RNA". It matches the Rfam family "Bacterial small subunit ribosomal RNA", at positions 28 to 523 of the family's 1533-position model. The record is from RNAcentral.
GAUGAACGCUGGCGGCGUGCCUAAUACAUGCAAGUCGAGCGAAUGGAUUAAGAGCUUGCUCUUAUGAAGUUAGCGGCGGACGGGUGAGUAACACGUGGGUAACCUGCCCAUAAGACUGGGAUAACUCCGGGAAACCGGGGCUAAUACCGGAUAAUAUUUUGAACUGCAUGGUUCAAAAUUGAAAGGCGGCUUCGGCUGUCACUUAUGGAUGGACCCGCGUCGCAUUAGGUAGUUGGUGAGGUAACGGCUUACCAAGGCAACGAUGCGUAGCCGACCUGAGAGGGUGAGCGGCCAAACUGGGACUGAGACACGGCCCAGACUCCUACGGGAGGCAGCAGUAGGGAAUCUUCCGCAAUGGACGAAAGUCUGACGGAGCAACGCCGGGUGAGUGAUGAAGGCUUUCGGGUCGUAAAACUCUGUUGUUAGGGAAGAACAAGUGCUAGUUGAAUAAGCUGGCACCUUGACGGUACCUAACCAGAAAGCCACGGCUAACUACGUGCCAGCAGCCGCCGUAA